Molecule: long non-coding RNA, 1005 nt
Filed under: Spirodela polyrhiza (greater duckweed)
Lineage: Eukaryota; Viridiplantae; Streptophyta; Magnoliopsida; Alismatales; Araceae
Description: long non-coding RNA (SPOL_LNC001636)
Source: RNAcentral
GAUAAGCCCGCGAAUGUCUUCUCGAGCUUCAGCCACCCAUAGUGUCGGAAUACUAUUUUCCUAGUUUUCAGAUAAUUAUGUAGGAUUCUAUAAUUAGUGCUAUCCAAAAUGCCUUCACAUUCGGCAAAUUGGAUAUCAUUUUCGUGUUGCAAACGUCAGUAAGUCAAAUUCUUAUCUGACUAUAAAUAAUAAAAUGGGUUUGGCGAAGGGUUUUUCUAUCUCAUGCCGUAUGGUGUUGAGUGUCUAAUUGAUGCAGCACACUUCAAGAGCUAAUCGAUCAAAGAAGGUGAUUCCAAUCAAAAUAAGGAAACGACAGACAUAGAAGGCGAGAACGGUGCCCUUGAUGAAGCACACCUCAACAGCUCCUCAAAUAAGGAAGGUGAUUUGAAUCAAAUUGAGGGAACAACCAUUUUAGAAGGUGGGGACGUCGCCCUUGGUCCAGCUACUGGUCACCCAUGCCGCCAAAGAAAGCCCCCUACAAUAGAAGGUUUCAUUUAUUAUUAACUUACUAUUAUUUCAUGUAGAGAGGCCUAUAAAUCGGCCCUCAAACCUUUAGCUUGGCGGUGAAUGAGAUGAAGAGUUCCUUACCUGAUCGCGAGAUCCCGUCGCCCCGGCUUGGGUUGGUCGGAGGACCCCGCCGCUCCCGGUCUGGAGCACCCUUUCCCCUCCCUUCCCUUUCUUCUAUCACCACCAGCUACCACCACCUGUUCGCUGCCGUUUCCUUUUCGUUGCCCAUCACCGCCGGCCUUGCUAUACCGCCGCUGCCGCCGCUGCCUACCACCGCCUCACCGCUACUCGCCGCCGACCGCCGCCCUCACCCGCCGUCGCCGCCUCCGUCGUUUUCCCCUCUCCCCGCCGCUGGAUACCGUCCCAUUUUAAGGCUAGGGCUAUUUCAUUCGUGGGCCUGAUGUCCCCCAGCCCACUUCCACUAGCCCACCACCACUGACCCUUUUGACUAGCCGCAACCCGAACCGUUUGGCGUGAGUCAUCCGGCCACCCCGGACC